CUUUCUAGUUAUACAUGAAUGAUAAUGACAGUUCAAAUACAUUUUGUCUUGAUUUUUCUACUACAUAGACCCUUUCAAAUACUAGAUUGAGGACAAUUUGAACAACAAUACACUUUCAUAUCUUCAAUCUUCAUGCACUACAAAAUCAGAAAUGGACAAGAUCCUCAAGUAUGUUCAAGCUAGCUGCAACAUGACUUCCCAGCAUGAUUGCAUUAUGUUCAACCUAAUUCUCCAAUUCUUAGAUGUUGAAGAUACACAUGAUUCAUCACGUUUUAGUAUUCAACAUGUGCGAAAAAGGAUAAGGGAGAAAAUGGGAAUCACUUUCCUUUGAUUUUCCAUUAUUUUUGGACUUUUCACAAACACUUGGUAUACAUAGUCUCUUCAACAACAUAAUAACACUUUCCAACAAUAAUGGAGGCAAAGGUCACUAACAAACACAAUCUAACAAACCUGCAUGUCACAAAAUUUGUAUAACAAGAAUAAAAUACAAGAAGAGAAGAUAAAUCUGGGUUACUACAUGAUGUACAGAUAAAACAUUAUUUGUUCAAUACAUGCAGUUAUUGGAAAGGGGUGGAACCCCAUUGCUAGAAGGAAAUUUAUAAGCAUAUCUGAGAGCCUCAGUCGGAGAAGUUGACCAAGGUUCUUGAAUAAACAAAUAGUUAUGUCGUUUUUGUUGUAAAUUCUUGAUUUCCGUGACAAAAAGUGAAGAAAAUGUUAUGCUUGUAAUUAACGUGACACCUUAGCAUGUUUGUUAACCGUCGUUAAAUU
This 768-nucleotide long non-coding RNA is filed under the name Lupinus angustifolius (narrow-leaved blue lupine). RNAcentral's name for it is "long non-coding RNA (LANG_LNC000773)". The record is from RNAcentral. Lineage: Eukaryota; Viridiplantae; Streptophyta; Magnoliopsida; Fabales; Fabaceae.